UUGUUUACAGAGGGAGAUGCUAUUUUGCUCAACGGUAGUUGGGAUUCCUUUCUUACUUGAGCCAAUGGUUCUAACUAGAGAGAUCUUUAAGGCAUGGAAUUCUUGUUCUCAAAAAUCCAAAGGUGAGGAGACUGGCGAGCACACUCUAGCAAUGCUUAAGGCAGAGAAAGGAGUAGAAUCACCACUUCACAAUGAGAAAUGGUUGUCUGUCCAGCUAAAGCAAGAACUAGCAUAUGCAGAGGCUUAACGCAGACCUGUACAAGGCUUCUCACAUGGUCAACAAUACAAAGGAAGAGAUACCAUAUUAUUCCGUGCUGGAGUACCAUUCUUGGAAGGAAAGUUUGGGUGCAUGCAAGCUGGCCUGUACCGGCUUAAGCAUUUAGGAAUCACACAACUAACAACUCUAACCAGUGCAAUGUGUCAACUCUUGCUACUGCAUCAAACAUUGAAUUGGAGCUGCAGAUAACUCCGUGGAAUCUAAGUGGCAAUUUUGUUGCAUGUACAACCCAGAAAUCCAAAGGUGAGGAGACUGGCGAGCACACUCUACCAAUGCUCAUGGUAGAGAAAGAAGAACUAGAAUCACCCCUCCACAAUGAGAAAUUGUUGUCUGUCCAGUUAAAGAAAAAACUAGCAUAUGUAGCAGAGGCUUAAAACACAGACCUGCACAAGGAGCUCCAAUCCGUACGCCCUCAACUUGUCUUUGAGCAGUGAAGAUGUUUGGUAUACUUGAAACAAGAGAACAAUGGUAUGUUGGAGAUUCUGAUGGCAACAUCAAGGGUUUUAAGAUUGAACAAGAAGUACGUCAUGUUAUACCAAUGAAAUACACUAUACCUUUCUCAGUUUCCCAUGGAUAUCCAACUGAAGUUUUAGCUGAUAGGGUUGUUAUGUCCAUACUUCCUCAGCCAACAAAUGAAAGUAAAAGUGAUUAUGUUCUCAUGUGUUGCUCAAGUAACUACAGAAUUCUUGUAAUAUUUAGAGAUGGCUUUAUGAUUUUUGUGGGAAAUUUGAGAAAGCAAUGCUACCCGACGGUUUAAACACUGAAAAAUGCCUUGUAACACAUAAUGGAAGAAAAAUAGCUGCUCAAAGUUUGAAAAGACCGUUCCGUAUGCUUUAGUAAUCCCAAGUGGCAGGCUACAGGAGAGAUGGUUAAGUACUAUGAAGGCAGACCUGUUCCUCAAGAUUACAAUGGUGGCUCUAAGGUCAUACAUUCGCACAAGAACUGCACUGAAUGGGCUCCUAAUGUUUAUUUUGAAAAUGAACUCCAGAAGUCGAAAAAUAAAAUGCUCCUGUUACAGACUCAAAGCUGCAGCGUUCGGCUGUUUCGAAAAGAGUUGUCGUAAGAGUUUCCCUGUUCCCUGUGCAAAAUUAGUCUCACAAUGCCAGUGGGAUACUGAUAACUUUGUAAUGUUGUGCCCUCUCCAUGCUUCUUCUAAGUUGCCUAAUGAAAAGUCAGAAUCUCAAGGAAGCAAAAAACAAGUGUUUUAAGAGGACAUUUGCCAGUUCACAACAAGGAAUAUCCUACAAGCGAAGAAGUCAAUAUGCAGAAGAAAAGGAAUCUUUGUGAAUCACGCGACAAAUUGGUUCUCUGUUUCUCGGCUCUCAUAGUUGAAGAAAAUGAAUAUGUUUAUAAUAGGCUUUCAAUUCAGGAUUAUUCUUCAUAAUUUCUCCUAUUUUGUUCCUCCUAUUUUACUUUUAUACAAGGAUUUGUUUACCUGAUAUUGAUACGGCUUCAAGGGUUUAUUAUGAAACAAAUGGUGUAUCCAUGGAAGACAUGUAAAACUAUCUGGUGUUCUCAUGGACUAAUCAAGGGUUCAUUGGUUUACCUUAACUGUCCUGUCCAAUUUAUGUUUAAAUCUACAAAGAUGGAGAUGCUAUUUUGCUCAACGGUAGUUGGGAUUCCUUUCUUACUUGAGCCAAUGGUUCUAACUAGAGAGAUCUUUAAGGCAUGGAAUUCUUGUUCUCAAAAAUCCAAAGGUUAGGAGACUGGCGAGCACACUCUAGCAAUGCUUAAGGCAGAGAAAGGAGUAGAAUCACCACUUCACAAUGAGAAAUGAUUGUCUGUCCAGCUAAAGCAAGAACUAGCAUAUGUAGAGGCUUAACGCAGACCUGUACAAGGCUUCUCACAUGGUCAACAAUACGAUGGAAGAGAUACCAUAUUAUUCCAUGUCGGAGUACCAUUCUUGGAAGGAAAGUUUGGGUGGAUGGUCAUAGUUCGGACAAGUCAAAGCAAAAUACUGUUGAUUUUACUGUUUUUAAAUCCAAAGGUGAGGAGACUGGUGAGCAUACUCUAGCAAUGCUCAAGGCAAAGAAAGAACUAGAAUCACCCCUCCACAAUGAGAAAUUGUUGUCUGUCCAGUUAAAGCAAAACUAACAUAUAGCAGAGGCUUAAAACACAGACCUGC
RNA transcript from Hibiscus syriacus, 2402 nucleotides. RefSeq lists it as uncharacterized. The transcript is spliced from 19 exons. NCBI's taxonomy places the organism in Eukaryota, Viridiplantae, Streptophyta, Magnoliopsida, Malvales, Malvaceae. The record is from RefSeq and is a predicted model, not a curated record.